Molecule: long non-coding RNA, 1343 nt
Organism: Canis lupus familiaris (dog)
Lineage: Eukaryota; Metazoa; Chordata; Mammalia; Carnivora; Canidae
Exons: 3
Source: RefSeq, a predicted model, not a curated record
GCUUACACAGUGUUAUUAGUCAAUUAUAUCUCAAUAAAGCUGGAAAAUAUUAUGUUAGCUGGAAGAAUAAGAACGUUACAAUAAACAUUUUAAAAAUCCAAAAAAGAAGAGAAACUUGCUUGAGAUAGCAAAACAGGAUUUGCUUUCAGUUCCAACAACCCAUAAUCAGGUACUUCUGUAAAGUCCUUUUGUAGAAUGAUAGAAUGCUAUACAAAUGUUGAUUGUUACAUUGAUCUUGUGGGAGUUCUGUAAAAGAGGCCUAUCUAACUGUGUAUGUUGCCUUAUAGGGAAAUAAUACCGCAAACUAUCUAUCCUCAGGGGCCAGAGCUAUUGCACUGUUAUGCAGGAACUCUCAUUAAUGAGGUUCUUUUCAACAUUAUUUUCUCUAAGCCAGAUUGUUUAAUGCAAUAGUUACUCUUUUUAUCAAGAUAGGAAAGACUGUACUUGAAAGGAAUGAGGAGAGAGUUCUGUAGAUAUAUCAGUAUUCCAAAAAUCAUAAUGAAAAAACAAAUCACAGUUUUGCCAAGAAAAGACUUCACAGGAAAAAAAAAAUCAAAUGACAAAUACCUUUGCUCUUGGCUUAAAUAAUAGUUAAAUAGUAGUGACCAUGCUAUGCUGAUUAUAACUUGUUUGGCAUCUGGCGAUGUUUUUGAUCUUUAUUUGUGACUUAAUAAACACUGUCUAAGGUAGACAGUGUCCUUCAGAAUAUGAAAUCCAUUGGGAAAAAGUUCAUCGAAGUUUACCCCUUUGGCCUACUUUAUUACUCUCUCCUUUGUGUGUCAGCUCAGAGGCAUGCCUUUGACAUGAAAUUUUUUCUAGCUCCCCUCUCCUGUGGGCUCAUACAGACUCACCCUGUAGUCUAUGUACUCUUCAUCAUGUUCAUAAUACUCUGUACAUAAGAUCAUUACUGCAUUUUCCAUAUUAAUUUGUGUGUGUGUCUAACUCUCCUCAUCAACCUCCUCAAGGACAAGGAUCCUGUCUUAUUAAUUUUUAUUCCACGACUCAGGACAAAGAUUAAAACAUACGAGGAAUUUACAGAGUGAAUAGUAGGCUGGAAAUAUGCUUCGAACAUGAAGGUAAAGACAAUAAAUGGUAAUCAAGAAAUAAGGUAUUAAGAAUCUGGAUAACCCCAUGGAAAUGGAACAAAGAUGCGCCAAAGGAACUGUUUUUCACCAUGAGGACCACACUCUAGGAGAUGGUUGAGCAACACAAUAGGAGAAAUUGUGUCCCUGAAUGAUCCCUUGGAGCAAAAUCCCUGCUAGCCAAGAUUGAACAAAUUCCUGCAUUAGAGAGAGAAAAACUUAUCAUUUUGAUGAAUUUACUGAUUCUUUGGAGUUUUUAAU